This 253-nucleotide ribosomal RNA is filed under the name uncultured bacterium. Its description in RNAcentral is "partial 16S ribosomal RNA". It matches the Rfam family "Bacterial small subunit ribosomal RNA", at positions 524 to 776 of the family's 1533-position model. The record is from RNAcentral.
UACGGAGGGUGCAAGCGUUAUCCGGAAUUACUGGGUUUAAAGGGUGCGUAGGCGGCAACGUAAGUCAGAAGUGAAAUCUCUCGGCUUAACUGAGGAACUGCUUUUGAUACUGCGUAGCUUGAAUAAGGUUGAGGUCAGCGGAAUGUGGCAUGUAGCGGUGAAAUGCUUAGAUAUGCCAUAGAACACCAAUUGCGAAGGCAGCUGGCUCGACCUUUAUUGACGCUGAGGCACGAAAGCGUGGGGAGCGAACAGG